RNAcentral lists this ribosomal RNA (754 nucleotides) under Sceliacanthella sp. M357. Its description in RNAcentral is "eukaryotic LSU rRNA". It matches the Rfam family "Eukaryotic large subunit ribosomal RNA", at positions 485 to 920 of the family's 3401-position model. Lineage: Eukaryota; Metazoa; Arthropoda; Insecta; Hymenoptera; Scelionidae. The record is from RNAcentral.
CCCGAAAGAUCGAAUGGGGAGAUUCAACGUCAGCGGGGCUGUGUUCCUUGCGGUUCGCGAUGUUUGAGACGGUACUUUACGGUAUUUGUUGAUAUCACGCAUCCGCUUGGUAUUCCGGUUACGCCGGCGUGCACUUCUCCCCUAGUAGAACGUCGCGACCCGCUGGGUGUCGGUUUAAGGACCGAGAUCGUCGACUGUUUCGUCGCUUCGGCGUGCGUUAACAGACGCUUGGAUUCCCGACCGGCUGCUCGGCGGUACGCUCAUGGUAUCGAGCCGCACUUGAAUGCGUUCAGACUCGUUGCAAGCCCGACCAUUUGUUUAUCCUGGAGUGCGGACCUGGUGCCGUCCCCGGGGGUGGUUAGCUGUUGGUUGACGAUGUUCUCGAACCGGCUUAAAUUGAACGAACAACGAUACCGGUCGGCGACGCUAUUGCUUUGGGUACUUUCAGGACCCGUCUUGAAACACGGACCAAGGAGUCUAACAUGUGCGCGAGUCAUUGGGAUAUUGAAACCUAAAGGCGUAUUGAAAGAGAAGAUCGUCCUUGCGUCGAUCGAGGGAGGAUGGGUAACGUUUAGGUGUUGCCCCGCACUCCCGGGGCGUCUCGUUGUCAUUGCGACUUGAGGCGCACCCAGAGCGUACACGUUGGGACCCGAAAGAUGGUGAACUAUGCCUGGUCAGGACGAAGUCAGGGGAAACCCUGAUGGAGGUCCGUAGCGAUUCUGACGUGCAAAUCGAUCGUCGGAACUGGGUAUAG